GAUAAAGAAACAAACCCAUACUCCCAUUUUAAAAAUCACACGUACACCCACCUCAUUCCAUUUCAAAGUCGAAGACCAGAUUAAUACAGGGGAAGAAAUAACAAAAAAAAAAAAACGAUAACUCCCACACACACCAAAACUCUUCACUCUCCGAUUCGGUGGCUGCCGACGUCUCUUCGCAGCGCCGCUCCAGCAGCCCAAAUCUCACCCCGCAAGUUCAUGGAUUGAUGAAUUGAAUUGGGGAAGAAGUUUAUACCUUCAAAAGAACGAAUUGGCUUUGAAACAAAAGAUUGAAGCUCUGGUUCCUCCCUUUCUACUGCUCCCUCCGCCGUUUUUUUUUGAGUGGCUGCGAAUUUGUGAGGGAAAGAGAUUAGGGUAGGAGGAUUUAUAUAGCUGUGUAUUGAGAGUCAUUUUUGGUGAUUGAUUUCACUUUGAUUGUGGUCAAAAAUUAGGAAAGAUUUGCAAGAAGGAGGAGCGGUUAUGAGCGUGGGAGAGGGAACGUAAAAUAGGUAAUUGAUUCUCAAAAUAAUAGCAAUUAAAGGUUGAUGUGUGAUUUAAUUUUGGAGCAGAUUGAAGAUAUGGAGGAAAAAACGUGUUAGUUGAUUUCACAUUUAAUUUGGACUCUUAUUGUUGCCUUUGACAAAUUCUCAAAUUGUAUAAUUAUUUGCUGAUUGGAAGAAGAAAUAAGGCAGAUUUGGAGAAGAGAAACUCUGCGGAUCUUCUAAUUUCUUGGAGUCAUUUAGUAGGAUUAAUUUGUUUGGGCUCAACAUCAUUUGUAUUUUAUUUACAUUACAUAGCCCACAAUUUAUUUUCUACCAGACUGGAUUUUUGUAUUAUUUAUUCAAUUUAUCGGAUCCAACA
Molecule: long non-coding RNA, 861 nt
Organism: Salvia splendens (bonfire salvia)
Lineage: Eukaryota; Viridiplantae; Streptophyta; Magnoliopsida; Lamiales; Lamiaceae
Exons: 2
Source: RefSeq, a predicted model, not a curated record